Lithohypha guttulata is the source of this 143-nucleotide non-coding RNA. The record is from the annotation of a RefSeq genome assembly. NCBI's taxonomy places the organism in Eukaryota, Fungi, Ascomycota, Eurotiomycetes, Chaetothyriales, Trichomeriaceae.
GACACUUUGGCCGAGUGGUUGUAAGUUGCUGCACUCACCGCUGUUUCGAACAGUUCCUAAUAGUCUUUCAGAAGGCGUGUGACUAGAAACUUCUAGAUCAUCACAUGGGUUCGCCCGCACAGGUUCAAGUCCUGUAGGUGUCG